GGUUCGAUCCUGGCUCAGAUUGAACGCUGGCGGGAUGCUUUUACAUGCAAGUCGAACGGCAGCACGGUACUCCCGGUCUGGUGGCGAGUGGCGAACGGGUGAGUAAUGUAUCGGAACGUGCCUAGUAGCGGUGAUGAAAGCGUAGCUACUACCGCAGGCUACUGCCCUUCGGGGGAAAGCGGGGGCCCUCGGGGCUCGCAUCAUUAGAGCGGCCGAUAUCGGAUUAGCUAGUUGGUGGGGUAACGCCCACCAAGGCGACGAUCCUAGCUGGUUUGAGAGGACGACCAGCCACACUGGGACUGAGACAGGCCCAGACUCCUACGGAGGCAGCAGUGGGGAAUUUUAAUGUGGGGAAACCCUGAUCCAGCCAUCCCGCGUGUGUGCGAUGAAGGCCUGUAAAGCACUUUUGGCAGGAAAGAAACAACGGGAUAAUACCUCCCGUGCAACUGACGGUACCUGCAGAAUAAGCACCUUCGCUAACCAGCCAGCAGCCGCGGUAAUACGUAGGUGCAAGCGUUAAUCGGAAUUACUGGGCGUAGCGUGCGCAGGCGGUUCGGAAAGAAAGAUAAAUCCCAGAGUUUAACUUUGAACUGCAUUUUAACUACCGAGCUAGGAGUGUGUCAGAGGGAGGUGGAAUUGCGGUAGCAGUGAAAUGCGUAGAUAUGGAGGAACACCGAUGGCGAAGGCAUUCUUGAUAACACUGACGCUCAUGCACGAAAGCGUGGGGAGCAAACAGGAUUAGAUACACCCUGUAGUCCACGCCCUAAACGAUGUCAACUAUUGCUAGCUCUUCUUCGGGCCUUGCAGUAGCGCAGCUAACGCGUGAAGUUGACCGCCUGGGGAGUACGGUCGCAAGAUUAAAAACUCAAAGAAUUGACGGGACCCGCACAAGCGGUGGAUGUGGAUUAAUUCGAUGCAACGCGAAACCUACCUACCCUUGACAUGUCUGGAAUCCCGAAGAGAUUUGGGAGUGCUCGCAAGAGAACCGGAACACAGGUGCCGCAUGGCUGUCGUCAGCUCGUGUCGUGAGAUGUUGGGUUAAGUCCCGCAACGAGCGCAACCUGCACAAGAAGCUACGAAAGGGCACCUAAUGAGACUGCCGGUGACAAACCGGAGGAAUGGGGUGAUGACGUCAAGUCCUCAUGGCCCUUAUGGGUAGGGCUUCACGUCAUACAAUGGUCGGGACAGAGGGUCGCCAACCCGGGCGAGGGGGACGCAAUCCCAGAAACCCGAUCGUAGUCCGGAUCGCAGUCUGCAACUCGACUGCGUGUAGUCGGAAUCGCUAGUAACGGCAGGAUCAGCAUGUCGCGGUGAAUACGUUCCCGGUCUUGUACACACCGCCCGUCACACCAUGGGAGGCUUUACCAGUAGCAGUUAGCCUAACCGUAAGGAGGGCGAUUACCACGGUAGGAUUCAUGACUGCGAAGUCAACAAGGUAG
This 1439-nucleotide ribosomal RNA is filed under the name uncultured Bordetella sp. RNAcentral's name for it is "partial 16S-23S ribosomal RNA intergenic spacer". It matches the Rfam family "Bacterial small subunit ribosomal RNA". The record is from RNAcentral. Lineage: Bacteria; Pseudomonadati; Pseudomonadota; Betaproteobacteria; Burkholderiales; Alcaligenaceae.